UGAUCAAGUGUCUCUAAGGGCAUUUGGUGGAUGCCUUGGCGUUGAGAGGCGAUGAAGGACGUGACACGCUGCGAUAAGCCAUGGGGAGCUGCGAGUAAGCUUUGAUCCGUGGAUUUCCGAAUGGGGAAACCCGACCGUAAGGUCACCCGCAAGGGAGCGAACCCGGGGAACUGAAAUAUCUAAGUACCCGGAGGAAAGGACAUCAACCGAGACUCCGUUAGUAGUGACGAGCGAACGCGGACCAGGCCAGUGGCCUGAGAGAAGACAACCAGAAGCGUCUGGAAAGGCGCGCCAUAGUGGGUGAUAGCCCCGUAUGGGUAAUGCUUCUUUCAGGUCCUUGAGUAGGGCGGGACACGUGAAAUCCUGUCUGAACAUGGGGGGACCACCCUCCAAGCCUAAGUACUCCUCAACGACCGAUAGCGAACCAGUACCGUGAGGGAAAGGUGAAAAGCACCCCGAUGAGGGGAGUGAAAUAGACCUGAAACCGAAUGCCUACAAUCAGUCGGAGCCGCCUUGAGCGGUGACGGCGUACCUUUUGUAUAAUGGGUCAGCGAGUUACUUUGACGAGCAAGCCUAAGCCGUUAGGUGUAAGCGAAGCGAAAGCGAGUCUGAAUAGGGCGUAUAGUUCGUUUGAGUAGACCCGAAACCGGGUGAUCUAGCCAUGGGCAGGUUGAAGGUACGGUAACACGUACUGAAGGACCGAACCCACGCAUGUUGAAAAAUGCGGGGAUGACCUGUGGCUAGGGGUGAAAGGCCAAUCAAACCCGGAGAUAGCUGGUUCUCCGCGAAAACUAUUUAGGUAGUGCGUCACGUAUUACCGUCGGGGGUAGAGCACUGGAUGGGCUAGGGGGGCGCGAGCCUUACCAAACCUAACCAAACUCCGAAUACCGAUGAGUACAGCGUGGCAGACAGACUAUGGGUGCUAAGGUCCAUAGUCGAGAGGGAAACAGCCCAGACCUCCAGCUAAGGUCCCUAAGUUAUGGCUAAGUGGGAAAGGAUGUGGGAAGGCCAAGACAGCCAGGAGGUUGGCUUAGAAGCAGCCAUCCUUUAAAGAAAGCGUAACAGCUCACUGGUCUAGAUAAGCCGGCCUGCGCCGAAGAUGUAACGGGGCUAAAGCCAUACACCGAAGUUGUGGACGUGAUUUAUCACGUGGUAGCAAAGCGUUCUGUAAGCCUGUGAAGCUCGACCGCGAGGAAGAGUGGAGGUAUCAGAAGUGAGAAUGUUGACAUGAGUAGCGAUAAAGAGUGUGAGAA
RNAcentral lists this ribosomal RNA (1253 nucleotides) under Bacteroidota bacterium. RNAcentral describes it as "bacterial LSU rRNA". It matches the Rfam family "Bacterial large subunit ribosomal RNA", at positions 1 to 1327 of the family's 2925-position model. The record is from RNAcentral. Lineage: Bacteria; Pseudomonadati; Bacteroidota.